UAGAGAUAAGAUGGCAGUCGCUCUGCUUGUUAUAGCAAGAACAACUUUCAGGUUAUUAGGAUUAGAAUUUAUGCUCACGCUACACUUCAAAAUGUUAUGUAUUUAACGUGUAUCCAGGACGUUCCAUUGAGGUCUCCUUUUUUUUUACAAGGGAGACCUGGACCAAGGGGAGACUUAAAGUCUGCAGGGCUCAUCUGUAAAAGAGAACGUACAUAACACCACACAGCUGUACUACAUUGGGGUUAAACGUGGAUGUCUGAGGAACAGUCUUCAUUAACGGCCUUGGAAACACGUGGGCUAAGACAUGGCCACAGGCUUCACACCAGCCUCCAUUGCCCUAUGCUGACUGACUUUGCUUAGGUUUCCAAGACAAGAAAAAAAAAACAACAGAAAGCUUAACAACACCCUCCAAGGCUGAGUAAUGAAGAAAAGAAGAAGAGGAAGGAGAAUCAAAAGAAAACCAUGGAGUAAAAAAAAAAAGAAUCAUUCAAUAAAUUACAAGGUAUAACCUUGGCUAGUUUGUAUACCACUGGUCAGGCCACUGCAGUUAAUCACAAAUAAAAGCCAGGAGCGAAAUUAUAUUGCUGUUUUCCAAGAAUUCAAUGUUUCCAGAGCUGUUGUUCCUGGCUGGAAAGUUAACAUUUGAAGCUAGCAUCAGAUGAUUAGGUUCCUUAUAAUCCCUCGUGGACAGAUUCUCUUGGACAGAUAAAACAGUGAGAAGGCUCAAGUAUAAUUAUGUGAUUACGAGCAACAGUAGUUCCUGGUUUGGUGUUUAUGUUUCUGAUUAUUUGGAUGAAUCAUGAUUGGGCGAAGAUGGUGCUGUGAUUUUCAACCCCAUGUCCGGAUGAUGAACGAUUUCCACCAAAUUCCACAACCUCAAAGUCAAAAAUGGCUUUAUCGUAAAAAUUCACGAAAACAAAAAUUGUCCUUUUUGGCCGUCAUAGAAACACGGGGGAAAUUAGCGGAAUCAGAGGGAGGAGACUUUGUUUCCUUCCUUGGCACAAGAGUAACCACAAUUGUUAAUGGCAAUCGCCCAGAAGUAAACAGGAAAUGACAAACUUAAUUUGUCAUUUCAGUGCUGGA
Molecule: long non-coding RNA, 1083 nt
Organism: Oncorhynchus mykiss (rainbow trout)
Lineage: Eukaryota; Metazoa; Chordata; Actinopteri; Salmoniformes; Salmonidae
Source: RefSeq, a predicted model, not a curated record